This 1080-nucleotide long non-coding RNA is filed under the name Homo sapiens (human). Its description in RNAcentral is "HSALNT0152428". Lineage: Eukaryota; Metazoa; Chordata; Mammalia; Primates; Hominidae. The record is from RNAcentral.
UCGCACUUUCCACAUGUGGGUUUUUAUUUCUAGUCCUUCACAUUGACCAUAGAAUCGCCUGUGGCUUCCAAACCUGUCGUAAGCAGUUUGUUGUUGCUCUUCUGUAUGUGAUUAAGUGGAUUUACCUUUUGUAUACUCAUAGCUACCAUCUCUGUUUAUCGUUCAUUUAGGGUCCUUAGACAAGGUGCAAGACAAACAGAAGAGGGCAUGUGGGGUCAAACUCGCUAGCUGCCUGCCUGAUUUUUCUGCACACAGGUGAGAUAUUCCUGCACAUCCUCUGGUGACCCCAGAAUGAGGGGGACUCGCUGGUGAAUUGCCUCGGGCUUCACGUCCAGUACAGGCUGGGUCCCCGUGGUCGCCAAGCCUCCUGCCUGCUCAAUGAUGUAGGCCACGGGAUUGCAUUCAUACAGGAGCCGGAGCUGUGGAGGAACAGAGGCAGGACAAAUUCACCAAGAGCCUAGCAACAUGAAGAGAGAUGCCAGGAAGAAGAGAGAAGCCAGGAAACAAGCCAACCGCACAAUCCCCACAUCAGAGCAGGAGAAGAUGGGGGCCUGCUGGCAGAGCUGGGGCUUGGCUGUGGUCACUCUGAACCUGCUCUUUGGUGUUUUCAUGAGUGGUGGGAAGAAUAGGGACCAUAUGGAGCCCACACAGGAAGCUCUAGCAGUAACACAGCAAGCAGGAAGACAAUUCUAAGGAAGCAGCCCAUAGUCUUCUUUCUUUUCCUGUGCAUCUUCCACUGUCAGUGAGGCUCCUCAUUUAUGGUGAACCCAACUGUGUGUAUCUCCCAAGUUCUCACCCGCAGAUUAAUGUUUUCAGGAAGAUAGGCCAUCAACAGUGAGAGGAAGAAGUUACAUUGUCGUAUGAGGGAUGCAUUUUAACCAUUAAUUUGUGGUACAGGCUGGGCGCAGUGGCUUAUGCAUGUAAUCCCAGCACUUUGGGAGGCCGAGGUGGGUGGAUCACGAGGUCAGGAGAUCGAGACCAUCCUGGCUAACAUGGUGAAACCCCGUCUUUACUAAAUAUACAAAAAAUUGGCCGGGCGUGGUGGUGGGCACCUGUAGUCCCAGCUACUCGGGGGGCUGA